CGCGGCUCCCCGCGCGGCGGUACCUUGCCCAACUCCCCCAGGGCCGGAAGGCAGCAAGGGUAAGCAAGCUCUACCGGGUGCGCGGGGAGUCCUUUCGU
This 98-nucleotide signal recognition particle RNA is filed under the name Actinopolymorpha cephalotaxi. RNAcentral describes it as "Bacterial small signal recognition particle RNA". It matches the Rfam family "Bacterial small signal recognition particle RNA". Rfam says of the family: The signal recognition particle (SRP) is a universally conserved ribonucleoprotein involved in the co-translational targeting of proteins to membranes. Archaeal SRP consists of a 7S RNA and homologues of the eukaryotic SRP19 and SRP54 proteins. The record is from RNAcentral. Lineage: Bacteria; Bacillati; Actinomycetota; Actinomycetes; Propionibacteriales; Actinopolymorphaceae.